AACGAAAUGAACGAAAUGACUCGAAAAAAGAUUCGUUCAUUUUGAUGAACGAGAGAGUCACGAACGUGCAUCACAGAACAGAGCAAGGCGAGCAUUUGAGCUUAUAAAACUUAAACUUUGUUAUUUAUU
Long non-coding RNA from Rhinichthys klamathensis goyatoka, 129 nucleotides. RefSeq lists it as uncharacterized. The transcript is spliced from 2 exons. The record is from RefSeq and is a predicted model, not a curated record. NCBI's taxonomy places the organism in Eukaryota, Metazoa, Chordata, Actinopteri, Cypriniformes, Leuciscidae.